AGAGUUUGAUCCUGGCUCAGGAUGAACGCUAGCGGGAGGCUUAACACAUGCAAGUCGAGGGGCAGCAUAGAGUAGCAAUACUUUGAUGGCGACCGGCGCACGGGUGAGUAACGCGUAUGUAACCUACCCUGUACAGGGGGAUAGCCCGGAGAAAUUCGGAUUAAUACCCCAUAAUGAUAUUUGGAGGCAUCUUUGAAUAUUUAAAGCUUCGGCGGUACGGGAUGGGCAUGCGUGACAUUAGCUAGUUGGUAAGGUAACGGCUUACCAAGGCUUCGAUGUCUAGGGGUCCUGAGAGGGUGAUCCCCCACACUGGUACUGAGACACGGACCAGACUCCUACGGGAGGCAGCAGUGAGGAAUAUUGGUCAAUGGGCGUAAGCCUGAACCAGCCAUCCCGCGUGAAGGAAGAAGGCGCUAUGCGUCGUAAACUUCUUUUCCGGAGGAAUAAAAUUUCGUACGUGUACGGAACUGAAGGUACUCUGGGAAUAAGCAUCGGCUAACUCCGUGCCAGCAGCCGCGGUAAUACGGAGGAUGCGAGCGUUAUCCGGAUUUAUUGGGUUUAAAGGGUGCGUAGGCGGAUUAAUAAGUCAGUGGUGAAAACCUUCAGCUUAACUGGAGAACUGCCAUUGAUACUGUUAGUCUUGAGUACGGUCAAGGUAGGCGGAAUGUGUAAUGUAGCGGUGAAAUGCUUAGAUAUUACACAGAACACCGAUUGCGAAGGCAGCUUACUGGGCCAUUACUGACGCUGAUGCACGAAAGCGUGGGGAGCGAACAGGAUUAGAUACCCUGGUAG
Molecule: ribosomal RNA, 792 nt
Filed under: uncultured bacterium
Lineage: Bacteria
Description: bacterial SSU rRNA
Rfam family: Bacterial small subunit ribosomal RNA
Source: RNAcentral